RNAcentral lists this ribosomal RNA (1158 nucleotides) under Triticum aestivum (bread wheat). Its description in RNAcentral is "partial small subunit ribosomal RNA". The record is from RNAcentral. Lineage: Eukaryota; Viridiplantae; Streptophyta; Magnoliopsida; Poales; Poaceae.
AUGGGAGAUACCAGUAGGUAUUCCAGUAUUGAGAAAUUGUGUGAAAGUAUGCAGCGUAUGAUUUCACAGCUGAUGGAGCAGGCACAAACAAAAACAAGCAGUACUUUUGAAAUUUUGAAGACCCUGGAACCCAAUCCUGUCAAGUUAACUGGCCCGGGUGAUUUUUUUAGCUGGUCUCGGAAUGCUACUUUGAUUCUAGAGUCACACAGACUUCAGAAAUUUUUGAAGGAAGAUGAGAAAAAGCCAACAGAUGUCACACAAGAGCAGUGGGAUCAGAAUCAAAAGCGAGUUAUGGUAUGUCUGUUGGGGUCGAUGGAGAAGACCGUGAGGGAACAGGUUGAAGGGUUUCAGUCUGCAGCUGAGGUGUGGACGAGCAUUGAGAAACAGUUCUCAGGGAAAUCGAACAAGAUGCAAGUCAGUAGGAUUUUCCAUGAAUUAAGGAAGAUCAAGCAAGAGCAGAAGACAGUGACCGAAUUUGCGGGAGAAAUCAAGAAACUCUAUAGAGACCUGGAGUAUUUUAGACCAUUUAAGGCACAUGAUCCCAGGGACGUACCCCUCCUUCGAGAGUGGUUUGAGCCAUUGUUGGUUCAGACUUUUCUUGAUGGUUUGAACUCAGAGUUCAAUCUCCGUUCCCAGCUCAUACAAGCCACACCAGAUUGGCCUACAUUGGAUCAGGCCAUCUCUAGUAUACUGGAGGAAGAAACACGGUUGGCCAAUCAGAUCACAACUUCACAAACAAAUGUUGAUGGCAGAGCUGCACUAUCUUCGGUUAAGCAAAUUCAGUCUCCUGGUACUUCCAGAAAUGAGCAAGCAAAUGCUACUAGAUUCGACUACACAAGGAAGCCUAAGAUGGUGUGUGACCACUGUAAAAAACCAGGCCAUUUGAAGAAGAGUUGUUUUGAUAUAGUUGGUUACCCUCCUGGAUGGCAAUCGAAACAAUUUAACAGAUUCACCAGUGGUGGUAGUAAUGCAAAAAGGCCAGAUCGAGCUCAUCUUACUUUAUUUGGGGGAGAGCAGUCUGCGGCAGCAGCCCAAGCACUUGAAGAAUUUAAAAGCAAACUUAUGGCGAAUACUUCACAAGGCCCUGCUGAAACAACAUCUGAUGCUCAUUCUGGGAAAGGAUCCGAAGACAAGAAGAAAUCUUGGGACUGGGAUUGA